This 74-nucleotide transfer RNA is filed under the name Butyrivibrio fibrisolvens. It matches the Rfam family "tRNA". From Rfam's summary of the family: Transfer RNA (tRNA) molecules are approximately 80 nucleotides in length. Their secondary structure includes four short double-helical elements and three loops (D, anti-codon, and T loops). The record is from Rfam by way of RNAcentral. RNAcentral also lists the same sequence under 2 other names. Lineage: Bacteria; Bacillati; Bacillota; Clostridia; Lachnospirales; Lachnospiraceae.
CGGGGUGUAGCGCAGUUGGCUAGCGCGCUACUUUAGGGAAGUAGAGGUCGCAAGUUCAAGUCUUGUCACUCCGA